RNAcentral lists this ribosomal RNA (560 nucleotides) under uncultured Hypocreaceae. RNAcentral describes it as "bacterial SSU rRNA". It matches the Rfam family "Eukaryotic small subunit ribosomal RNA", at positions 14 to 578 of the family's 1831-position model. Lineage: Eukaryota; Fungi; Ascomycota; Sordariomycetes; Hypocreales. The record is from RNAcentral.
CGGCUUGUAGUCAUAUGCUUGUCUCAAAGAUUAAGCCAUGCAUGUCUAAGUAUAAGCAAUUAUACAGCGAAACUGCGAAUGGCUCAUUAUAUAAGUUAUCGUUUAUUUGAUAGUGCCUUACUACUUGGAUAACCGUGGUAAUUCUAGAGCUAAUACAUGCUGAAAGCCCCGACUCACGGAGGGGCGUAUUUAUUAGAUUAAAAACCAAUGCCCCUCGGGGCUCUCUGGUGAAUCAUGAUAACUAGUCGAAUCGACAGGCCUUGUGCCGGCGAUGGCUCAUUCAAAUUUCUUCCCUAUCAACUUUCGAUGUUUGGGUAUUGUCCAAACAUGGUGGCAGCGGGUAACGGAGGGUUAGGGCUCGACCCCGGAGAAGGAGCCUGAGAAACGGCUACUACAUCCAAGGAAGGCAGCAGGCGCGUAAAUUACCCAAUCCUGACACAGGGAGGUAGUGACAAUAAAUAACAAUGCUCUGGCUCUUCGAGUCGGGCAAUUGGAAUGAGAACAAUUUAAAUCCCUUAUCGAGGAUCAAUUGGAGGGCAAGUCUGGUGCCAGCAGCCCCC